RNAcentral lists this ribosomal RNA (597 nucleotides) under Brevibacterium sediminis. RNAcentral's name for it is "bacterial SSU rRNA". It matches the Rfam family "Bacterial small subunit ribosomal RNA", at positions 58 to 664 of the family's 1533-position model. Lineage: Bacteria; Bacillati; Actinomycetota; Actinomycetes; Micrococcales; Brevibacteriaceae. The record is from RNAcentral.
GCAGUCGAGCGCUGAUGCCGACAGCGCUGUGGUUGGUGGAUGAUUGGCGAACGGGUGAGUAACUCAUGAGUAACCUGCGCCUGAUUUCCUGAUAAGCCUGGGAAACUGGGACUAAUACCGGAUAUGACCAAUCCUCUCAUGAGAGUUGGUGGAAAGUUUUUCAAUCGUCUGUGGGCUCGCGGCCUAUCGCUUGUUGGUGGGGUAAUGGCCUACCACGGCGACCACAGGCAACCAUGCUGAGACGACCAGAGGCCACACUGGGACUGAGAGACACUCCAAACUCCUACAGAAGCCUACAGUGGGGAAUAUUGCGCAAUGUGGGAAACCGUGAUACAGCCACACAGCGCGCGGGAUGACGGCCUUCGAGUUGUUUACCACUUUCAACAUGUGAUAACCGAAAGUGACGCUACCUGCAGAAAAUGUACCGGCUAAGUACGUGCCAGAGCCGCGGUAAUACGUAACUAACUACCGUUGUCCGCAAUUAUUGGGCGUAAACAGCUCGUUAUCCGGUUGGUCACGUCUGCUGUGGAAACGCAGCGCUUAACGUUGCGCGUGCUUUGGGUACUGGGCUGACUACACUGUUCUAAGUGAAUCUGG